RNAcentral lists this unclassified non-coding RNA (433 nucleotides) under soil metagenome. RNAcentral's name for it is "partial contains 5.8S ribosomal RNA, internal transcribed spacer 2, and large subunit ribosomal RNA". The stretch from base 1 to 120 matches the Rfam family "5.8S ribosomal RNA", at positions 35 to 154 of the family's 154-position model. The record is from RNAcentral.
GAUGAAGAACGUAGCGAAAUGCGAUACGUAAUGUGAAUUGCAGAAUUCAGUGAAUCAUCGAAUCUUUGAACGCAUAUAGCGCUCUCUGGUAUUCCGGAGAGCAUGCUUGUUUGAGUAUCAGUAAACACCUCAACUCCCUUUUCUUUUUUGAAAUGGGAGCUGGACUUGAGUGAUCCCAACACUUUUCUCACUGGAAAGUGGCGGGUCACUUGAAAUGCAGGUGCAGCUGGACUUUUCUCUGAGCUAUAAGCAUAUCUAUUUAGUCUGCCUAAAAAACAGAUUAUUACCUUUGCUGCAGCUAACAUAAAGGAGAUGAGUUCUUGUGCUGACUGAUGCAGGAUUCACAGAGACAGCUUUGCGGCUGACUUUGUAAACUCGAUCUCAAAUCAAGUAAGACUACCCGCUGAACUUAAGCAUAUCAAUAAGCGGAGGA